Molecule: ribosomal RNA, 518 nt
Filed under: uncultured bacterium
Lineage: Bacteria
Description: bacterial SSU rRNA
Rfam family: Bacterial small subunit ribosomal RNA
Source: RNAcentral
ACGAACGCUGGCGGCGUGCCUAAUACAUGCAAGUCGAACGGUCUUUCUAUGGAAGCUUGCUUCCACUGAGAAGAUAGUGGCGAACGGGUGAGUAACACGUGGGUAACCUGCCCAUAAGAGGGGGGAUAACAUCCGGAAACGGGUGCUAAUACCGCAUAGUUUUCUUGAUCGCAUGAUUGAGAAAGGAAAGACGGCCUUUGUGCUGUCGCUUAUGGAUGGACCCGCGGCGUAUUAGUUAGUUGGUGAGGUAACGGCUCACCAAGACGAUGAUACGUAGCCGACCUGAGAGGGUGAUCGGCCACAUUGGGACUGAGACACGGCCCAAACUCCUACGGGAGGCAGCAGUAGGGAAUCUUCCGCAAUGGACGAAAGUCUGACGGAGCAACGCCGCGUGAGUGAAGAAAAGGUUUUCGGAUCGUAAAACUCUGUUGUCAGAGAAGAACAAGUUGGAGAGUAACUGCUCCAGCCUUGACGGUAUCUGACCAGAAAGCCACGGCUAACUACGUGCCAGCCGCCGC